Molecule: transfer RNA, 72 nt
Filed under: Phaeodactylum tricornutum CCAP 1055/1
Lineage: Eukaryota; Bacillariophyta; Bacillariophyceae; Surirellales; Neidiaceae
Description: tRNA-Gln for anticodon UUG
Rfam family: tRNA
About the family: Transfer RNA (tRNA) molecules are approximately 80 nucleotides in length. Their secondary structure includes four short double-helical elements and three loops (D, anti-codon, and T loops).
Source: Rfam by way of RNAcentral
GGACUUAUAGUGAAGCGGUUAUCACCCAGCACUUUGAAUGCUGUAUCCCGGGUUCGAAUCCCGGUAGGUCCU